This 20-nucleotide ribosomal RNA is filed under the name Paenibacillus sp. SPRY20R. Its description in RNAcentral is "partial putative 16S ribosomal RNA". The record is from RNAcentral. Lineage: Bacteria; Bacillati; Bacillota; Bacilli; Caryophanales; Paenibacillaceae.
UUGGAUGGAUCACCUUGGAU